RNAcentral lists this transfer RNA (73 nucleotides) under Stegodyphus mimosarum. It matches the Rfam family "tRNA". From Rfam's summary of the family: Transfer RNA (tRNA) molecules are approximately 80 nucleotides in length. Their secondary structure includes four short double-helical elements and three loops (D, anti-codon, and T loops). The record is from Rfam by way of RNAcentral. Lineage: Eukaryota; Metazoa; Arthropoda; Arachnida; Araneae; Eresidae.
GCCUUCGUGGUUUAAUGGUUAGCACGCACGACGCUUAUUCGUGAGGUUCGUGGUUCGAAUCUCGCCCAGGGCA